Molecule: long non-coding RNA, 2227 nt
Organism: Mauremys reevesii (Reeves's turtle)
Lineage: Eukaryota; Metazoa; Chordata; Testudines; Geoemydidae
Exons: 3
Source: RefSeq, a predicted model, not a curated record
UGGGAGUUGUCAGAGGUGAAGGAGGAAGAAAACAGCGAUGGUGACAACGCGAGGAAAAUCCUGCCCAUGGAGCUGCUGGAGGCCAGAGAGUCUUGGCUGGGAACAGGACUCCCAACUCAACUGUUAUUGGUCCAUGGUUCCUUUUUGGUGCUGGGGAGUAAGCAAGGCUCUGAGACGGUGCCUCACCUUUGGUAAGAGGUCAGCUGGCAAGCGGGAAAUGAGCAGAACAGCCCAGAGUGGCCUCCCCAGGGCUGAUCCUUCAGUGACUGCUGAGAGCUCCACAACUCACACACGGGCCUGCAUUGCUAAGAGCUUCUCUGGACCAAAGCCUGCUUCCUGCUCGGCGCAGGGCGUUAGAUGGCUGCCCAGCCCCAGAGCAAGGACAUCUAUGUGACCUGUCACUUGUGCCAACGGGAUCAGAUCUGGGGAAGGAAUCUGCUGCAUACAGAAAACACACUAACCUCUAUACAGCACAUACUGCACAGACAGACAGGCAGGUAAAUGUGAUUGUGGGAGACUGCAGGAGGCAAGCAAGUGUAAUGCAACUCGAAGAAUUACAACCAAUUCUGAUCAAAACACACUCGGCUCCUGAAGGGCUUGUCCUGGGGAGAAUUGCCUCUUAGCUGCUGUUUGACUCACAGGCUGCUGGACUGAAUUAACAACAUGAGCAGUUUUCUUUAGCAGCUGAGCACACGCUAAAGAAAUUGGUAAGAAAGGAGGGUUUCUAUCUGGAAUACUGAACUUGGAACCCUACAGAGAUUGGGCAGCUGAGAAAGCCGUUUUGCAGGAACCACAGCAGCUCCAAAGACAAUUAAACAAGGAACCAGACUUUGUGCAAACUGAAGCAAAAUGGUGCCCAUCCUGGGAAUGCUGAAGCACAAUGAACAAUGUACAGUGGGGCUGUAAAGUACUUCAGAAAGGUGGUACUCUGCCACCAAUCUGAUUCCACUGAGGGAAGCCGUCCUUCUUUUAGACAACCUCAACUAUGCAUUAUGGUUGGGCCAUUUUAGAGGCUAUAUGGGGAAGCCUGGAUCAUGUGAGGAAGCCAAAGCUAGUGAAGAUUAAAACAUAAAUGUCCAUUGGUUUCCUCUUAGGGAGCUGUGAGGUUUAGUCAGUGGGCUCUGGUGGUUAGAGAGGACACAGGGAAUCAAGAAAAUGGCAGCUGCUGGUGACUCUGAGCUAUUGGAACUUGGCCAAGUCGCUUAACUUCUCCAUACCGCUGUUUUUCCCUACUGUAAAAUGGGGUUUGGUGAUAUUCAGCUGGAAGGGGCAGAAUGUUAUUAAUUAUGGUUAUCGUUCUGUAGUGGACAAACACAGGUUUCUAGCUGCUGUGUAUCUCUUCAUGCUAGGAAAAUCCAGUACCUGGUUUCAAACUUUUCUAAGGUGGCUUACCUCAGACAAUGGUCCAGGCAGGGCUGGCGCAACCCAUUAGGUGACCUAGACGGUUGCCUAGGGCGCUAACAUUUUGGGGGGGUGACCAUGGCGGCUGGAUAUUCAGCCGCCAUGGUCGUCAGUGGUAUUUUGGGGGCCGGACCUUCUGCCGCCUCCGUCGGGGAUGCCAUUUUGUGGGCAGGACCUUCCGCUGGCUAGGGCGCCAAAAAGGCUGCUGGCGCUCCGGGGCCCAGGUAUUCCAUGCCUGUUGAGAUCCACUGCUACAGUGGUCCCAGUCUCAAGUUCUUCACUCAAACAAGACUUUCAUUGGCUUCAAAGGGAGUUUAGCCUUCAGUGAGGAUGGGCGUUCAUCUCCCUCUGGUGUUAUCAGAGAAAUCCCUUUCCAUUAGGAAGUCUAAAUAGUUCUAUUUCCUUAGAGCAGCAAAUUUGUAUAAUCAUUAUUUAUGAGAUCCCAGUCAGAUAUGAUAUUAACACAAGGGACAGAGGGACCCAAAGAGGAAGAGAAAUGAGUGAUACACAGAACUUCACUUCCCAGCAGCUCAUUCUUGUUUCUGGUCGUCUCAUUACUAUCUGCAAAAUAUUACUCCAGAACUGUGAAUGGUUUGAUUCCAUGCUAUGCUGAUAACUUCCCAGCAGAAUGUGAGCUGGGAAAGCUGAAUGGGUAGAGAAAGAUGAUACAAGAUCAAUGUGAUCUCUGCAAGAUCAUCAAACUAACAAGCUUCCUCUGAGGCCACAUGAAUAUUAAAUCAUGUUUGCACAUGGUUAAUUGUCUCUGUAUACUUUAAAUCCCAGGAAGCUGUUUACUCUGCAUGUGAAUUCUGGGUCUGCUCCUCCU